This 461-nucleotide ribosomal RNA is filed under the name Anoplocephaloides dentata. RNAcentral's name for it is "bacterial SSU rRNA". It matches the Rfam family "Eukaryotic small subunit ribosomal RNA", at positions 60 to 468 of the family's 1831-position model. Lineage: Eukaryota; Metazoa; Platyhelminthes; Cestoda; Cyclophyllidea; Anoplocephalidae. The record is from RNAcentral.
UCAGUGCAGGCCUUAAUACGGUGAAACCGCGAAUGGCUCAUUAAAUCAGCUAUGGUUUAUUGGAUCGUACCCGUUAAAUGGAUAACUGUAAUAACUCUAGAGCUAAUACAUGCCAUGAUGCCCUGACCUCGCUAGUUACUAGUUGGGGGAUGGGUGCACUUAUUAGAUCAGAAGCCAACCAGCACAUGCGUUUGCGCUCUUUUGGGGCGAGGGCGUGUGGGCUGUAGUACUUCUGGUGACUCUGGAUAAUUGUUACAGAUCGCAGUCGGCCUUGAGUCGGCGACGGGUCCUUCAAAUGUCUGCCCUAUCAACUUUCGAUGGUAGGUGACCUGCCUACCAUGGUGAUAACGGGUAACGGGGAAUCAGGGUUCGAUUCCGGAGAGGGAGCCUGAGAAACGGCUACCACUUCCAAGGGAGGCAGCAGGCGCGCAAAUUACCCACUCCCAGUACGGGGAGGUGGU